UUAAGGCUAAUCAUGUGAACUAAAACAAAUGUUGAACUAUUUUGAUAAGGUUUACAAAGCCAGCAGUGGCCUCAAGAUUGCUGUUGAACUUUGUGGUGAGCUAAAACUGAUUAAUUGUGCAUAAUAAUUUCUAGUAGCAGUAAUUGAACUAUUUUGGUCGCUGAUCUCAAAAGAGGUUAAGGCUAAUCACCCAAUGAUUAUCAGGUGAAUUUCCUGGUUAUAUGAUUCAAACUGCAUCCUUUCUAGGUCAUUAAUUCUCAAGCAUCGAUCCCUUGUUUCUUAAUUUCAGCUUGCUGGGGUUGUUGCGGUUGAAGUCACAGGAGGGCCAACCAUCGACUUUGUUCCAGGAAGAAUGGAUUGCGCAGAUUCUCCUGAUGAAGGACGCCUUCCUGAUGCAAAUCAAGGUGCCGGACAUUUGAGAGAAAUCUUUUACAGAAUGGGGCUUUCUGACAAGGAUAUUGUCGCGCUUUCAGGAGGCCACACUCUGGUAUAUUUAUCACCAUUUGAUGGGACAUGAAGUCGAGAUGCAGGUGGUUUGAAAUACUUUGCCUCGUCGAUUUGGCGCUCCAGGUCUUCCAGAGUUGAAUGCAUCUCAGCUACAAUAAUCGGGCAAUUAUGGAGGCUGCUCAAGUACUGCUUUAUUUCGGAGUUGAACAAAUCAUCUAUGUUUCUGAAAUGACGCACU
Spinacia oleracea (spinach) is the source of this 685-nucleotide long non-coding RNA. RefSeq lists it as uncharacterized. The record is from RefSeq and is a predicted model, not a curated record. Lineage: Eukaryota; Viridiplantae; Streptophyta; Magnoliopsida; Caryophyllales; Amaranthaceae. The transcript has 5 exons.